UGCAGUGGGCUACCUUGAACAAGCCCGAUCCCAUCUGAUCUCAGAAGCUAAGCAGGGUCGGGCCUGGUUAGUACUUGGAUGGGAGACCACCUAGGAAGACCAGGCACUGUAG
RNAcentral lists this ribosomal RNA (112 nucleotides) under Pteropus alecto (black flying fox). Lineage: Eukaryota; Metazoa; Chordata; Mammalia; Chiroptera; Pteropodidae. The record is from RNAcentral.